Molecule: ribosomal RNA, 253 nt
Filed under: uncultured bacterium
Lineage: Bacteria
Description: partial 16S ribosomal RNA
Rfam family: Bacterial small subunit ribosomal RNA
Source: RNAcentral
UACAGAGGUGGCAAGCGUUGUUCGGAAUUACUGGGCGUAAAGGGCGCGUAGGCGGCCCGUCAAGUCCCGUGUGAAAGCCCCCGGCUCAACCGGGGAACGGCGCGGGAAACUAGCAGGCUCGAGUUCGGGAGAGGGAAGCGGAAUUCCGGGUGUAGCGGUGAAAUGCGCAGAUAUCCGGAGGAACACCGGUGGCGAAGGCGGCUUCCUGGACCGACACUGACGCUGAGGCGCGAAAGCGUGGGGAGCAAACAGG